RNAcentral lists this ribosomal RNA (240 nucleotides) under uncultured Lactobacillus sp. Its description in RNAcentral is "partial 16S ribosomal RNA". It matches the Rfam family "Bacterial small subunit ribosomal RNA", at positions 122 to 356 of the family's 1533-position model. Lineage: Bacteria; Bacillati; Bacillota; Bacilli; Lactobacillales; Lactobacillaceae. The record is from RNAcentral.
UAACCUGCCCAAGAGAUCGGGAUAACACCUGGAAACAGAUGCUAAUACCGGAUAACAACAGAUGAUGCCUAUCAACUGUUUAAAAGAUGGUUCUGCUAUCACUNUUGGAUGGACCUGCGGUGCAUUAGCUAGUUGGUAGGGUAACGGCCUACCAAGGCGAUGAUGCAUAGCCGAGUUGAGAGACUGAUCGGCCACAUUGGGACUGAGACACGGCCCAAACUCCUACGGGAGGCAGCAGCG